ACUCCUACGGGAGGCAGCAGUGGGGAAUAUUGCACAAUGGGCGAAAGCCUGAUGCAGCGACGCCGCGUGAGGGAUGACGGCCUUCGGGUUGUAAACCUCUUUCAGUAGGGAAGAAGCGAAAGUGACGGUACCUGCAGAAGAAGCGCCGGCUAACUACGUGCCAGCAGCCGCGGUAAU
Molecule: ribosomal RNA, 177 nt
Filed under: uncultured bacterium
Lineage: Bacteria
Also listed under: 2 other names
Description: partial 16S ribosomal RNA
Rfam family: Bacterial small subunit ribosomal RNA
Source: RNAcentral